GUCUUCAUAGCUCAGGUGGUAGAGCGCUCGAUUGGGAAGCGAAAGGUCCUGGGUUCGAGUCCCAGUCUAGACA
This 73-nucleotide transfer RNA is filed under the name Polistes fuscatus (common paper wasp). Its description in RNAcentral is "tRNA-Pro". It matches the Rfam family "tRNA". From Rfam's summary of the family: Transfer RNA (tRNA) molecules are approximately 80 nucleotides in length. Their secondary structure includes four short double-helical elements and three loops (D, anti-codon, and T loops). The record is from RNAcentral. Lineage: Eukaryota; Metazoa; Arthropoda; Insecta; Hymenoptera; Vespidae.